This 1207-nucleotide long non-coding RNA is filed under the name Durio zibethinus. RNAcentral describes it as "long non-coding RNA (DZIB_LNC001463)". The record is from RNAcentral. Lineage: Eukaryota; Viridiplantae; Streptophyta; Magnoliopsida; Malvales; Malvaceae.
UCUUUUCUCUUUCUUUUUGUUUUUUUUUCUUCUUUUCUUAUUCUUUCUUUCCCCCAGUUGUCGACACAAGCUCUCUUUCUCACCACUGGUCAACCCUACCAACUCCUCCUUCAUCCAAUCUUCUUUCUCACCCAAAAAGGAAAAAAGCCAAACUCCUUAAAAAAAGUCUUAACCAAACCCUUCUUUUUUUUUUCUACUUAUGGUGUUUUGAUUUUGUUUCUCUUUUUUUCUUUUUUAUUGUCUUUUUAAGGGUUCUUUAAUAGAGGACUGUGGUUGUUUACAAUUUUUUGGCUUUGCUAGUUUGGUUUUUGGUUGUCAUUUGUCUGUUUUUUAUUUUGGCUUUGAUAGGUUCCUCACGAGGACUUUUGUUUUUUUUUGUUGGCUUUUUGGGUGGCUGAUAGGCUUUGUCAAUGUGGCUUCGAUGGUGGAAAGGGUCGACCUUCGAAAAAGACGAGGUUGAUUUUAGGCUAUGAUGGGGGCAUUCUGGUAUUACAACAGAUGGUGGCUUUGAUGAAUUUAGAAUAAGAGAUCUCAAUUAGGCUUAGAGAUUGGCAGAGGUUGGUUUUGGGUGGAUAAAGGUACGCAUUAUGGUAAAGGUUGUUUGGCUAUGAAAGAAGUUAUGAAAAGGCUUUGAAACUUUUUAGGAAAAAUUUUACUAUGAAGGUGGUUUCGAUUGAGGCCCUAGCUGGAAAGAAAGGGUGAAUGGGUGGUGACUAUGGUGGUCUUGUUGAUUCCAUGGAUAGCAUUUGUUGGUUGUGGUUUGCUAAGGCUGGGUGGUAGGGAGUCAGGUAAAAUCAGCCAGGGGAUAAGGCUUUGGUGUUGUCUCUUUUUGGUGAUCAAUUGGAAACCUUAGGAGAGAGUGGCUGCCAAAGAUUUUUUUUAUAGUAGGUGCCUCCCAUUUCUUUAUGGAAUUGGCCUUCUCUUAUCAAGCUCUCCUACUGUAAAAAAAAUUUACCUUUAGGGAAUUUAGUCUGUCAUAAGAAGAUAUCUAGAAAUGGGUGUUUCGGAGUGUUAUUGGCUUGGAAAAAUAAGCGUGCUCAAUUAAUGUUAAGGGUUUGGGGGAAUUGGUAAGGGCAAAACAAGCUAUUAGAAGUGGGCAUACAACUGAAGAAAUGACCUGACAUAUUGGUAGAGAUGGUUACCAUGGCAGCCAACCCUCUCCCUUAUUUUUAAUUCAUUUUUUUCUUUUUUUAAACUAAUUAAUUUA